UCUUUCUCUCUUCUCGAAGCCACUCGUCGUCGUCCUCUUCCGCCGCCGUCGCGAGCAAUACGUGAAAGGCUAUGUUUUCAGGUUGAUACGUGACUUUCUCUCUCCAACUCUGACAGUCCAAUACGUGAUUUCUCUCGCCAACUCUUUGGUUUCUGGUUUCUCUCUCUAAGGUUUGGUUCAAAUUUCUGUUAAUUCUCAUUUUACUAAUUAAUUGUCAAUAUGAUCAUAUAUAUACGCUAUGUUUCUAAUAGAAUGGGUAUUGAUUGUUUGGGUUUAUGUUGUUUUUAUGUUUUAUAUAGAAUGGUUGAUACAAGGAAGAAGGAUGGAAAGAGGAAAAGAAUCACAGAUGGUGAUUAAGACAGAAGCUGAUCAAGUUCAUAGCCAGAAGAUAUUUCCAACCCAAAAAUUUUUAAAGGUGUGCUAAUUUAAAUUUUGUUAUUGUUACUAUCAUAUAACUGUUUGGUUACUUUUGCAUUAUGUUUUGGUUACUGUUAGCUUGUGAUUCGGAUACCAUUUUUGUUACCUUGAUUUGGUAUUUUGGUUACUUUUUUAUGUUGUUAUGAUUACCAUGUAUUUGCUUAGUAUACAUGGUUGACUAAAUUGAUUUUGGUGUACAUGUUGUUUAUGUAUUGGUUACCAUUAAAACAUAUUUUGGUUACUAUCAUAUAAAUAUUUGGUUACUUCUUUAGUAUGUUUUUGGUUAUUGUUAGUUUCUGAUUUGGAUUCUAUUUUUGUUUUCUUGAGUUGAGAUUUUGGUUACUGUUUUUUGUUGUUCUGGUUACCAUGUAUUUGCUUAGUAUAUAUGGGUUGACUAAAUUGUGUUUGGUAUAUAUGUUGUUUAUGUAUUGGUUAUCAUUAAUAUAUGUUUUGGUUACUAACACAUAACUGUUUGGUUACUUCAUUAGUAUAUUUUUUUUUUUUUGCUUAUGAUUUGGAAACUAUUUUUUCCCUCAAUUGGGAUUUUGGUUACUUUUAUAUGUUGUUUUGGUUCCAAUGUAUUUGCUUAGUAUAUAUUGGUUUACUAAACUGGGUUUGGUAUACUUGUUGUUUUAUGUGUUGGUUACCAUUAAAACAUGGUUUGGUUACUAGUAUAUAACUGUUUGGUUACUUCUUUAGUAUAUUUUUUUGGUAUACAUGUUUUUGUUUUGGUGACCUUUAAAUUAUGUUUUGGUUAAUAUUAUAUAUAACUGUUUGUUUACUACAUAAAAUGGUCUGUACUACAUGUUUAUAUUUUGGUCACCAUUAGAUUAUAUAAUAUAACUUUUUGGUUACUACUUUAUUAUGGUAUGGUUAAUGUUAUAUUAUGAUAUGAUAAUUAUUAUUGUGCAGUCAAUGUGGGAUGUUGGUUAUUUGUUAUAGUCUGUUUUGGCUACUGUGUAAUUGUUAUAUUAUGUUUUGGUUAGUAUGCUUUUAUUUGUUGGUCACUACGUAACUGUUUAUGUUAUAAAUAUUGUUUAUAUCUGGUUACUAAUGACUGUGUAAAUUUGAUUUUGUUUAUUUACAGUUAUGGAAUCUUUACUGUGAGGAAUGCAACAGAAAAUUCACUGGAAAAGUUAUAUAUUGGUGUGACAUGAAAGUCCCCAGCAUUAUUACCAAGAAAUUGAUAAUCUUUACUGUGAAGAAUGCAACAGAUGAUUUUGUUACUGUUACCUUAUGAUUUGGAUACCAUUCUUUUUCUCUCAAUUGGGAUUUUGGUUACUUUUAUAUGUUGGUUUGGUUACAAUGUAUUUGCUUAGUAUACAUUGGUUGACUAAACUGGGUUUGGUCUACAUGUUGUUUAUGUGUUGGUUACCAUUAAAACAUGGUUUGGUUACUAGCAUAUAACUGUUUGGUUAUUUUUAUUCUAACAUGUACAUUAUGUACCCUCACAUGUACAUUAUUUUUGGUUAGUAACAUAUAACUGUUUGGUUACUGCAUUAGUAUAUUUUUUGUUACUGUUAGCUUAUGAUUUGGAUACCAUUCUUUUUUCCUCAAUUGGG
Molecule: long non-coding RNA, 1979 nt
Filed under: Panax ginseng (ginseng)
Lineage: Eukaryota; Viridiplantae; Streptophyta; Magnoliopsida; Apiales; Araliaceae
Description: long non-coding RNA (PGIN_LNC010451)
Source: RNAcentral